AGCGCAGGCUUGGGAAGUGAAUUCCUCGGUCACUGCCAUGGGUUCCAUGUUGACUGACAAAACUAGAGGUCGGCUGCCCACGAGGAAUAGGAUGGCUAUUUUCUCUCUACAGGCUCUGGAAUAAGGUUUUUUUUGGCUGAAAUCUUCAUCUGGGUGCUUUUCAGGGAGAAGUAGCAGAAUGUGGCAAUGAGGACUCAAACCAGUGAGCUCAUGGGAAUGAAGAUGAGAAGAAAAAUGAAAGGGGGCACUGUGAUUGCGUGAACACAGGAAAUAAAGGCAAAGACAAAUAAGAUUUGAUGUAAUUUAUCCGUUAUGCAAUAGUCUAGAUUGCAGUCAGAAAAUUUACUUUUAGCUUAAGGAAAAGUUUGAAGAAAUUUCAAAAUAUAUGCUAUUUCUAAGUCAAAUAUGCAAAACACAAUUUUUAA
Non-coding RNA from Equus caballus (horse), 425 nucleotides. NCBI's taxonomy places the organism in Eukaryota, Metazoa, Chordata, Mammalia, Perissodactyla, Equidae. The record is from RefSeq and is a predicted model, not a curated record.